GAUGAAGAACGCAGCGAAAUGCGAUACGUAAUGUGAAUUGCAGAAUUCAGUGAAUCAUCGAGUCUUUGAACGCACAUUGCGCCCCCUGGUAUUCCGGGGGGCAUGCCUGUCCGAGCGUCAUUUGUACCUUCAAGCUUUGCUUGGUGUUGGGUGUUUGUCCUGAGGGACUCGCCUUAAAGUAAUUGGCAGCCAGUGUUUUGGUUUUGAAGCGCAGCACAAGUCGCGAUUCAAGGCUAUACGCCAGCUUCCACAAGCCUUUUUCACUUUUGACCUCGGAUCAGGUAGGGAUACCCGCUGAACUUAAGCAUAUCAAUAAGCGGAGGA
This 324-nucleotide unclassified non-coding RNA is filed under the name soil metagenome. RNAcentral describes it as "partial contains 5.8S ribosomal RNA, internal transcribed spacer 2, and large subunit ribosomal RNA". The stretch from base 1 to 120 matches the Rfam family "5.8S ribosomal RNA", at positions 35 to 154 of the family's 154-position model. The record is from RNAcentral.